RNA transcript from Schistocerca americana (American grasshopper), 3239 nucleotides. It is a transcript of the gene named CWF19-like protein 2, with no coding region annotated. The transcript is spliced from 17 exons. NCBI's taxonomy places the organism in Eukaryota, Metazoa, Arthropoda, Insecta, Orthoptera, Acrididae. The record is from RefSeq and is a predicted model, not a curated record.
ACUAUGAUAUGUUGUGUUUGGAGUUAUCAUUUGAAGUGACGACUCAGUCUGGGUGUAGUUUUAUCUUUAGAUCUUAUGAACUUUGAGCUAUUUGUUUUGUUUUCGAGUUGCGCGUAAUGUUUGUAUGCCGAUAGAAACAUAAAAUCAAAACAACCGAGUGACGGGGUUGUAGUAGGCUGUAAUUGGAAGAUGUCUCUGAUAAAUUUCAGUAGUGAACGAGAGAGCAAUAAGCGACGAGAGGAAUUACGGACGGCGAGAGAAAGAGCUUUAAAGAAGGCAGAGGCAGAGUUUUACCAGAAGAAGUUGGAGGAGGAGAGGAGGAGGCAGCGGGGCGACGACAAGUGGAUGGCACCGUCAGUCGAGAGUCGAGUGAGGGAGUCCAGCAAGUCUGACAAACAUAAAAAGUCGAAAAAGAAGAAGAAGGAGAAAAAGAAGAAGGCAAAGAAGAAAAAGCACCAGUCAGAGAGUUCCAGUUCGGACAGUGACGGAGAGGAUGAUGACGAAGAAGAGUGGGUGGAGAAGGCAGAUGAGAAGAAAGAAGAUUGUGGUGACAGAACUGUCAGAAAGGAUAAUGUGCCUCAGGAAAGAGACGCAUGGAUGAUCCCGACUGCUGACAUUUCGAACCUGCUAGAACGUGGAACGGACAACUCUGAAAUCCGUGGUGGUGUCAGAGAAAAGCCAGAUAAUGACAGGCUGAACCUCGAUAUGAUGGGACAGAGUUCACGAGAGCUGAACCCAUACUGGAAGGACGGCGGGACCGGCUUGCCGGAAGACCGGCCCCAGCGAAGGGAGCCCGCGGCCCGACAGAAGAACGUCGGAGACGGCGGAGCAGAGUGGCUGCGGCGCGCACUGCGGCGGGCCGAGGAGCAGGCGGCCGCAGAGGGCCGCCCACUGGAGGAGGUGGCCGCUGAGCGCUGGGGGUCUCUGAGACACCUGCAGGACAUGAUAGCCACAGCAGAGGGGCAGAGGGACAGCGGCAGGAGGCGGCCGGCAUUCAGGAGGCCCGCCGAGGACGGCAGCUCACCCAGUCCUGUAGGGGACCGGAGGAGCAGGGGAGGAGCGGGAGGGGGCCACCUCAGUGCGGCCGGCAGCCGCAGAGAGCGCCGGGGCAGCCCGGACAGGAGGGACAGGGGCAGAGCAGCUUGGAAAAAGUCUGACGUGAGAGUCGUGGAAGAGAAGACGAGGGGCACAAGUAGUACUCCGACAAAUGCUGAAAGGACCACACGGAAACAAGCAGGCAGCAGUUCUGAACGCUCUUCAUCGGAGUCCGAAGAAGAAAAGGGAGGGCCGGUGGGUGCUGGAGCCCCACUCACGGAUCUGGAGAUGAACGAGCUGGCGGCCAAGCUGGUCAAAGCAGAAAUCCUCGGCAAUGAGGAGCUCGUAUCUCAGCUGCGAGCAAAGCUGGACGCAGCCCGUGCCUCUCGCAAAGCUGGCGACGAUGACAAGCGUGGCCGAGAAACGAGGGACGAGGAGGAGGUUGUGGUGCUCACCAGGACAGAUGCCAGGGGCAAUGUGCGGCCCGCAGCUGCCCCCAGUUUCGCGCUGGACAGGGAGGCCGACCUAUGGGGAGGUCGUCGAGGCAGGAAGGCGAACAGGAAGAAAACACACGAUUCCAAAGGACAGCGUGUUCAGUAUUUUGCAGACGACUCUAAAUUCAGUCUGCAGGACCUGUACCAACGCGAGAAAUUCGUCUCUGCGGCAGACCAGCAGGCAGAGUUUGUGAAGCUCUCAGCAAAGGGUGUGGAGGGUGGAGCUGCAGAGACGGGGCGGCCGAGUGCAGAUGCGGAACACCAGCGUGCCGUGUCGGACAGCAGGUGGGUGGCGAAGGCCCUGGAGAGCUGCCGCUGGUGCCUGGGCGGCCGGCAGCUGCAGAAGCACCUCAUCGCCGCACUCGGCGACCAGGUGUACCUGUGCGUCCCACCUCAUCGCUCAAUGGUGGAGGGCCACUGUUUGCUCAUCCCAUCUCAACACGUCUCCUGCUCGACACAGCUGGAUGAAAAUGUCUGGGAUGAGAUGCAGAGAUUUCGCAAGGCCCUGGUGGCGAUGUUUUUGGGGCGAGGACUGGACGUCGUGUUCUUUGAGACGGCAGUACACCUGAGCAAGAUGCCUCACAUGGUGCUGGAGUGCGUCCCAGUUCCAAAAGAGGCAGGAGACAUGGCUCCUGUCUACUUUAAGAAAGCCAUCAUGGAGUGCGAGAUGGAGUGGUCGAUGAACAAGAAGCUGGUGGACCUGGACGGCAGCAAGAAUGUUCGGCGUGCCAUUCCCAGAGGACUGCCGUACUUUUGGGUGGGGUUCGGCAAUGAAGACAAGUUUGCACACAUUAUUGAAGAUGAGAAGCAUUUCCCCAAGAAUUUUGCUCAGGAAAUAGUGGGUGGCAUGCUUGACAUAGACCACAUGCUGUGGCGAAAGCCAAAGAUGGAAAAUUUCGAUGCUCAGCGCCAGAAGGUAAUGCAGUUAGUUCAAUGGUGGAAGCCUCACGACUUCACACGAGGAACAAAACGUUCUCAUGACAGCAGUUCAUCAUCAUCAUCAUCACCAUCAUCUGACUCUGAAUGAUAAACUGUAAAACGACGUCAUGAUAUGGCUGAUGUCUCCAGAUUCUCAUCUUGGGAUCAUUAUCUUGAGAGGAACUGCAGUGAACUCUCAAGAGUUUAUCCAGAGUGCUCGCAUUUGGGUUUCGGAGGAGGAUGUAAGAUACUGUAGAGGGCAUAAAAGUCUACACAAGUCCCAUGUUUACCUCUAAAGAUGUGCAGAUAAUAGUGCAUAAGUGCCUCUGUUCCACCAAUGAACCAGCUACUACUAACAUUCAGAUACUUUACCUCUGGUGAUUUCUUUCUGUCCAUUGGAGACUUUAUUGACAUUGACAAGGAGACAGCCAGCAGGAUUAUUAAAAAUAUCUUUCAAGAGAUUGGCCAGUCUUCUUCUAGUGUGAUAGGUAAUUUAGGAGAAGAUGUCGACAAUGAAGAGACUGAUGAACAUAUUAGAGGCAGAAUACGGCUAAGAAAUAUGGAUGGAGUAGAAGAAUAAAAAGAAAAUCCAAAAUAACAGCAGGUCAGGAAUACACCAACAUAAAUUGUAACACUGUGACAGAAAAAGUAUUCAUGCCUGUUGAAUAUAACUGCCACCAUAAAUGCAGUGAGUAAGUUCCUGCUCAAAAUCAGAAAAUGACGCAUAACAUGUAUUACCAGUUAUCUUCAUUGGAUACACAAACGACUUGGUUAUGUAAUGUUUAAAAACUA